This 1225-nucleotide ribosomal RNA is filed under the name metagenome. Its description in RNAcentral is "bacterial LSU rRNA". It matches the Rfam family "Bacterial large subunit ribosomal RNA", at positions 1711 to 2925 of the family's 2925-position model. The record is from RNAcentral.
AAUUAGGCAAAUUUCCCCCGUACGUUCGCAAUAAGGGGGGCCUUUGGCGGUGAGCUUAAUCGCAAAGCUGCUGGAGGCCGCAGAGAAAUGGCUCUUCCAACUGUUUAACAAAAACACAGGUCUCUGCUAAGUCGAAAGACGAAGUAUAGGGGCUGACGCCUGCCCAGUGCUGGAAGGUUAAGGGGAGAGGUUAGGCGCAAGCCGAAGCUUUGAGCCGAAGCCCCAGUGAACGGCGGCUGUGACUAUAACGGUCCUAAGGCAGCGAAAUUCCUUGUCGGGUAAGAUCCGACCCGCACGAAUGGCGUAAUGAGAGGAGCACUGUCUCAACGAGGGACUCGGCGAACAUUGAAGGACGUGUGAAGAUACACGUGACCCGCAGCGGGACAAAAAGACCCCGUGAAGCUUUACUACAACUUGCCAUUGAGUUAGGGCUAAACCUGUGUAGUAUAGGUGGGAGGCUUUGAAACUGGGACGCCAGUCUCGGUGGAGCCACCGUUGAAAUACCACCCUGGUUUAUUCUUGGCUCUAACCUGUCGCCGUUAUCCGGCAUGGGAACAGUGGCUGGUGGGUAGUUUGACUGGGGCGGUCGCCUCCGAAAGCGUAACAGAGGCGCCCAAAGGUUCCCUCAGGCUGAAUGGAAACCAGCCGUUGAGUGUAAAGGCACAAGGGAGCUUGACUGCAAGACCAACAAGUCGCGCAGGGACGGAAGUCGGGCUUAGUGAUCCCACGGUUCAGAGUGGAAUGGCCGUGGCUUACCGGAUAAAAGCUACUCCGGGGAUAACAGGGUAGUCUGGUCCAAGAGUUCAUAUCGACGACCAGGUUCGCCACCUCGAUGUCGGCUCAUCACAUCCUGGGGCUGGAUAAGGUCCCAAGGGUUGGGCUGUUUGCCCAUUAAAGUGGUACGUGAGCUGGGUUCAGACCGUCGUGAGACAGGUCGGUCUCUAUCCGCUGUGGGCGUAAGGGAUUUGAGAGAAGCUGCCCCUAGUACGAGAGGACCGGGGUGGACGGACCUCUAGUGUGCCAGUUGUUCUGCCAAGAGCAUUGCUGGGUAGCUACGUCCGGCAGAGAUAACCGCUGAAAGCAUCUAAGUGGGAAACUCGUCUCAAGAUUAGAUCCCUCAUCCGUAUGGAGUAAGACCGCUAGAAGACGACUAGUUUGAUAGGCGGCAGGUGUAAGCGCAGUAAUGUGUUCAGCUUAGCCGUACUAAUGGUCGAGGGCUUACGUU